CUGUCAGGUGCUGUCUUUAAUUACGGUAAAGGGUACACAACAUAAAAUUUACCAUUUCAACCGCGUUUAAGGGUGUCAUUCGCUCGGUGGCGUCAAGUACAUUCACGGUGUUUUGCAGCCGCCGCCACCCUCCCUCUUCAGAACGCUUCCAACUUCUCAACGGAGACUCUGUCCCCAUCAGGCUGACUCCCCACAGGCUCACCCCUGGGUGCCGGCACCCACCCUCUGAGGCUGUCUCUGUGGCUCUCGCCGCAAUGGUGCCCCCUGGCCAGGGAAUCAUGCGGUCUUUGUCCUCAGCGACAGCACAACGUCCCUGGGCGCAUCCGUGUUGUAGCAGGUGUCAGAGCUUCAUCCCCUUCUUUGGCCACAUCGUCCUCCGCGGCAGGGAGGGACCACAUCUUAUCUAUCCAUCACCUCUCGAGGGACCCGGGCUGACUUCACCUUUUGGCUCUUGUGACGAAUGCUGGCGUGAACACGUGUGUCUAAGUAUCUGAGUCACUGCUUUUCGACCCUUUGGGUCUUACUCAGAAUGGAAUGGCCGGAUCACGCGGCAUUUGUGCUCCCUUUUCUGAGGAACUGUUUGCUCUGGUGCCUGCACCACUUGGCUUCCCCACUCCUCUUCACAGUCAGCCCCUCAGCUGCGGGGACGUGUCAGGGUCCCAGAGGUAGAGCUGUUUUUAAGGACCAUACACAGCGCUGGUGGAGGCUGUGGGGAGCGGGCUCCCUCUGACACAGGCAGUGGGAUUUUAAGUUGCCCCCACCUUUCUUAAGAGCAAUACGUGCCAAAAUUUAAACUGUUUAGACCUGUAGAGACCAAUGCUUGCAGGAAUUUGUCCCAAGUAAACAUGCAGACUAGAUCGAAAAGAUACGUGUGUGUGUGCGCAAAGAUGUCCAUCAAAUGCCAUUAAGAACAGUAAAAUUAAAUCCAUAGACAAAUGGAUAACAAGCGAAAUGUCCAUUUAACCGUCAGUAGACACGUGGCUUUCAAGUUGCUGAUUUAUCCAUGUGAUGAAAUACUAUGCCGGGAACUUUAGGUGUCCCGACAGAGAAAACGACCACGGUGUGAUGUGCUGCUUUUGCGCAUUACCGAGCAGUGGGAUCCCGUUUUUGGACGUACCUUUUGAGGUAGAAGACCUGAAUGUACAGCUGCAGAGAGAGAUAAAUAUGUCUUUUUAUGUGUGUGUGUGCAUAUGUAUGUUUUGUACUUCAAAGUAUAACCACUGUCUUGGCUAAUGAAUACCUCCCGUCCCCUUCUGUGUCGCCCUCAUCCAAACUGGAAAAAUUCUGCCAACAAGAGGCACCCUUAUUUAGUGGCGGUGUCAAGGUGGCCUUUCAAUAGCACACUCAUUCUGCUGCCUCAGAGUCAGCCAGGAAAGGGAAGCGGGGGCGAGCGAGAGAAGAGAAAGGAAAAGCCAAGUGUUUGCGUAAGCACCUUGGAGGUUCUGAGCUCAAUAAGGCAGGUGUGCCGUGGGCUGCCUCGGGACCACAGGGGCCAAAGAGGCAGUCAGAGCACUAAUUAAAAUGUGCCAGAUUGCUGAAGCGCCAUCAGAUCCAGCUGCAGAAACCCAGAGGUCAGAGUGCAUAAAAUGCGGAUUUUUCCAUAAUUAUUUAAAUAUGUGUUAAUGAGUACUGCGAACACAGAGUAUGUCCAUUAAAGGAUGAAAAAUACAGGGAAAUUGAAAAGGAAUAACUUGGACUGUGGGGAAAACACUUACUCAGGGAUCCAACCCCCCAAUUUCUAUUUUGGUUCCAGUCCUGCUGCUCAGAGUAAGACACCCAACCACUCUGGGGCUCCGCUUCCUCAUCUGAAAAUGAAUGUCGGGGGGACCCGCUACGGAGCUCCUCAUCAUCCUUAAACCUGCCAGCCCCCCAGACUUAACGACAUCAGACGAAGCAUUGCAUGCAGAAAGGGAGCUUGCAGGACGAUUACGGAACUUCGUGUGUUUUCUUAGCAAUAUAAGUGGAGCAAAGGCCCUGGUUUUUAACCAGAGGAAUUGAGAAUACAAAUGAGCCAUUCAGAAAACUCAGAGAAAAAUGUGAUGGAGGGGGUGGGGCAUCAGAGCCUGGUGCCAUUAGCCCCCGGUUCCUGUUGUCCCCUCCCCUCGAAGUGCCAGCUUGGUCUGGGGUCCGCUUAAGGAGGGGCAUUUCCACCCGUCGCUGGAGGAGAGGCGGAACCAGGGGAUGGCAUUUCCAUCAUUUUUCUUCUCGAGCAAGGAAAGAAAAAAAAGAAAGAGCGAGCCCAGUGCAAGACUGCGGCAUUCCACGCCGUUGACACCUCGCCUUUGACUGGAGCUGCUGCUUCCAAAAUAAAGAAAGUGGUGAUUUCAGGGUGUAUUUUUGCCUGCGUUUUUGAGGAUGUUUGGGGCCUUUCAUCUCCUUUGAAGGCGCGUCACCUAGUUACGCUGCUUUCAUCCGAGUGCCCCCGUCGGAACACGCCGCUGCUUCCCUGGCAGUUGAUCGUGACGGACGGGUUUCCACUCUGCAGCUGGUGCGGAGAGCCUGGCUACUUGUGAAUACCUGAAGAAGCGCCUUUAAUCCAAAAACAAACUCCUCCUGAAAGACACAGGCUGAAAAGGCCUUUCACGGAGGGUUUUCCAGUUCCCUGGUUCAUGGUUUCUUUGGGUUGCACCGAGCUUCCUGCACUAAUGGUCUCUGAAUGCCUUCCCGGUUGUGGCCGGCUGGCCUGCCGAGGUCCCAGGCGUUACAGGGGAAGAAGGCAACCGGUAACACAGCAGAAGCUCGUUGGAGCUGCCGGGCCUGGACAGGUGGAGGCUGGAAGGACACCUAUGUGCUGAGAGCCCGAUGUUCUUUCUACAGCUUUCUCAAAGACGUGCUUCUCUAGGUAAUGCUUUAGAAGCCAAGUUGUAGUCACACAUAGCACGCACGUGGGAUUAAUCUGCUGGAUUAAAGACAGAGCAUUCGAAUCAGCGUUGAGAGGUCAUCCCUCCUCUAAUAAACGGAUUUGCUUUGGGUAGAGGGACAACAUGCAUUUUUUAAAAAAAAGUCCAUGUUAUUGAGACGACUGUGGGUCCAUUGAAAGAGUACAGAACUGACCUGGGAGCUGACCCGCGCCGGCCGGGCCUGCGGACUGCUGUCACUGGAGCCUCGGCCUUGGAGUCGCAGGUUCAAGUGCGGGAACCAGUACGUGUGUCGAGUCGCCGUCUAGACUGUCCUCACUUAUGUCAUGUUCGUGCCUCUGAAGCCUCAUCUCCAAGGUGACAGGUGGAUCAGAGGGCGUCAUGCAGUGUUGCCUGCACUCUCUUCUGUUCCUGGUUCCAAGGCCACCAGGUUCAGGGGAGGGACGCAGCCGUAGCGAGGCGGGUCCUGUGUGAGAGGCAUGGGUGUGCGACGCCACACCGCUGUCUUUGCAAGUCGCUUUCCGCCCCAGGCUUCGAGCGUCAUGGGUGAAAAUCUCUAAUGUCUAGAUUAGAUGUAAUUUCCAGGGCCCCUUCCUCUUAGAAGAGAAGAACAUCUCUAAAAAGACAAUAGUUCUGAGUUCAGACUCAUUUUUCAAGCGUCGUACUGUGGUACAGUUGGCAUAUGAUAAACUGCACACCUGGUAAGGUGACCACCCGGUAGGUCUGAGGUGAGUUCGUGCCGGUGAAGCCGUCCCCACGAUCGGGAUCUGGAACGAGCCUGCCCCCCGGCGUUGCCUCCUGCGCCUUCGGGGUCCCUCCUGCUCCAGCCAUCGGGGCCCUCCCCCCGGCAGUGACUGGCCUGCCUCGUGUCCCUGUGGGCGCCUAGAAUUGGAGGUAUAUGGAUUCGGAAACUGCUUUCUCUCUUCUGUGCCGCUUCUUUCAUUGGGCCGUUCUUUCGAGGUUCCCCUGUGGUGCAACAUGUUUCAGCAGCUUUUUUAAACGAUGGAGGUCUAGCUGGGGUGCGGGAGCAUGAAUCAGUACUUUGUUUUGAUAGCCGAGUAGUAUUCCGUUAUAUGGCUAUGACACAAUUUUGUUCGUCCACCCGCGCAUCGAUGCACAUUUCAGUUGCGUCCAGUGUGAGAUUGUUAUAAACCAAACGGCCACCUACCCAUGCCUGCGUUUCUCUUGGGUAAAUGCCUGGGACUGGAGUGGCCCGAAGCAUGUGGCAGGUUGUAUACGUUUUUAAGAAAUUGCCAAACCGUUUUCCAACGUGGUUGUCCUGACUUUCGGUUUCAGCUCUGACGCCGGAAGAGCUUGGGGUCGCUCCCAUUCUCACCACGAGAACAAUCCUGAGCCACCUGAGGACUGACGGCUUUUCUUGGUCACAUCAGAGGACCGGGGUCAGAGGGCACAGCAUCCGAAGGUCACGAGUGAGAUCCGCUGCCUCGCACCCUGGUAGGAGCAUUUCAUUUAGAUGACAAGGGGCUGGAGACCGAGUGUGCGCUGCUGUGGGCGCGGGGGAGUCUCAGGUCUGCCGGCGCAGCGCAUGGCCACAGUCUCAGGGCUUUUAUCCCCAGGAACUCCACCAGGUUUUGACAGGAAAGAGCUGAGAAAGACCGCACAGGAGUGGUGAUCGAACUUUAAUGCUGGCUGUCUUUCUAGGCGGGGGGUGGUAUUUCACUGUGGUUUUUUUGUCUUGUCCUUUAAUUCUCUUAACGGAGUCUUUUGAAAGCAUAAGUUUUGAAUUUUGCUGCCGUUCAGAAUCUCAAACUGUUCGUAUAUGUAGGUCAUGCCUCUGUAAGAGCUCAGGAUUAUGACAACUCUAAGAAAUCUUUGCCUAACACAUGGUCACAAAUGCUUUCUCCUUUUAUUCCAGAACUGUUAUCGUUUUAGGUUUUACAUUUAGAUCUCUGAUCCAUUUUGAAUUAACUUUGCUAAACGGUGACGCUGUGAUCGUUUGUAUUUUUCAAGGGAAGGAGGUUCCCUCUGUUCACUGUCUUCUGAGGGUUUUUUCUUUUCAAUCAGGAAUGGGUGUUAGACUGUGUCAAAUGCUUUGCAUCUUUAUCGAGAUGGCCGUCCGAUGUUCUGUUUGGUUUGUGAAAGCGGCGAGUGGCCCUGGCUCAGUUAACCUCGGUUUCCCCGAGUGACCCCGGCUCAGUUAACCUCGGUUUCCCCGAGUGACCCCGGCUCAGUUAACCUCGGUUUCCCCGAGUGACCCUGGCUCAGUUAACCUCGGUCCCCGAGGCAGGCGUCCCCUGGGAGCAGUGUGUGGUCUCCUUUAGAGAUGUCACCGGGUUUUAUUUUUCUGUAUUUUGUUUGUGAGGAAUAUUGGUCUGCAGUUCUCAUUUCUUCUCGUUUAUUUGUUUGUGUUUGGUACCAGGGUAAUGCUGCUUCAUUGAAUGCAUCCUAGUUGAUUUUUUAGAAGAGUUUGGGUAAAAUUGGAAUAAUUACGCUCCUGAAAUGUUUGCUAGGAUUCACCAGUGAAGCCGCUUGGUCCUGGAGUAGUCUUUGUGGGGACGUUUCCGACUGCAAGUAUAAUUUUGUUAACAGAGGGUACUCAUGCGUCUGAUAGUCUGCUUCUUUUAGAGGCAGCCGUGGUGGCUUGUGUCUUCCAGCAAGCUGUCCUCUUUUCCCAAGCGAGCGGUAAAACCUGUAGUGGUGUCAGUCCUCUCGUUUCUGACACAGGUAACUUGUGUCUUUCCCCCUUUUCCGUCCACCUGGCUAGAUGUUUAUUGCUGUCAUCUAUCUUCUCAAAGAACCAGCUCUGGGAUUCCUGGGUCUUCUCUGUUGUUUCCUGUUCAGAAUCUCUCCCCGAAGCAGAAGCACCUCCUUCCUCCUUUUCUUGCUGACCCUGUGCCAAAGGACCCCCCCUAAGACCAUCUAGGUCUAAGCUCCCACGUUUCUCAAGCUCCACCCCAGCACCUCCGACUUUCUUCUGACCGUCUGGUCAGAGGUCGAGCAUUUCAGCUGAAACUUCAGGAAAAAAAAGCCUGUGUGUAUACUCUGAAGUGUGUGCUCACUUGUGUAUACAACAGCUUUAGUGACGGGGCUGUAAAUGCAGGAUUCACUUGGCGCCGGGGGCAGGGGGCUCCCUGGCUCUGCCCUUUGCUAACAUAUAAGGGACUAACCACCUCUGAGCCUCCGUUUCCCUCGCUCUAAAACGGGAGUCACGAUGAUAACAAGGUUGUCGAAGGACCCGGCGAGGAGAUGGAUGCAAAGGGCUUGGCCAGAGUCUGGUGCUGGGCCAGCCCUCCGUGAGCAGUGCUGAAAUGUGACAGCGAGCGUGACGGUCCAGGGCUCCGUCCCCUUCACUGCUGGAAAGGCAGGAUUUACGGUCUUCCUUGUCUUCUGUUGAUGUUGGAGCCAGUGUUUAUUGGUUGUAAAUGGUAAAAAUACAAACCUGGCCUAGAAAUCCACAGACUGUGCCUUUUGUCCCAUUACGGACAAGUCCAUGGCCACGCCUGGUCAAGCACGGAAGUUUACAAGUCCAACAUCCAAAAUACACUUUCGUUACAAAAGUGUUGCCUCAGGAGGUUGGCAGCACUGUGGCCAUUGUUGCUGGAAGAGCUUGCGUCACUGGUGUUUCCCCGGGAUGCGGCUGCGCCCACGUGGCCGAGGAGGAUGAGGGCCGCCCUGGCCGGGGCACGAGACUCUGCACAGUGUGGGCCUCAGAAGGCUGCAGGGCUUUCUGUGACGGCCUUUGUCGGGGGCGGGGCGCAUCCUGAAUAGUGCGUGGCAGACCCCCAGCUCUACCUGUGGCCCCCAGGUGCCUUGGAAAAGGCCAGGCAGCCUCUGCGGGUCUAUCCUGGGACACUUGCUCUAUGAAUCUUUGAUGUGUGAGAUGCCCAGGUGUCCACUCACCUCCACGUCGAUGGUGGCAGGCGGGGGGCAGUUGGUGGGGGCCAGAGCAGGGGGAGAUGGAUGGGGCUGAUGGGUGUGGUUGGGGACAGAAAGAGAUGAACCUACGAGGUGACCCUGAGCAGCCGCACCUCUGUGCACAUGGCCUUGUAUUACUGUGGGGGCUGCUCGUUACACAGCUCGCUUUGGUAACGGGUGCACAGCC
Molecule: long non-coding RNA, 6921 nt
Filed under: Sus scrofa (pig)
Lineage: Eukaryota; Metazoa; Chordata; Mammalia; Artiodactyla; Suidae
Description: lncRNA (ENSSSCG00000046580.2)
Source: RNAcentral